RNAcentral lists this ribosomal RNA (489 nucleotides) under uncultured bacterium. Its description in RNAcentral is "bacterial SSU rRNA". It matches the Rfam family "Bacterial small subunit ribosomal RNA", at positions 29 to 524 of the family's 1533-position model. The record is from RNAcentral.
AAUGAACGUUGGCGGCGUGGAUUAGGCAUGCAAGUCGAGCGAGAAGAUUCCCUUCGGGGAAUUGGAAAGCGGCAAACGGGGUAGUAAUACGUAGGUUACGUACCCCAAGGCCCGGGAUAGCCGUGGGAAACUGCGGGUAAUACCGGAUAAUCUCUCCGGAGCAAAGGUGUGAUUCCGCCUUGGGAGCGGCUUACGCGAUAUUAGCUUGUUGGUGAGGUAACGGCUCACCAAGGCCAUGAUGUCUAGGGGGGUGUGAGAGCAUGGCCCCCACCACUGGGACUGAGAUACUGCCCAGACACCUACGGGUGGCUGCAGUCGAGAAUCUUCGGCAAUGGACGCAAGUCUGACCGAGCGACGCCGCGUGCGGGAUGAAGGCCCUUGGGUUGUAAACCGCUGUCAGAGGGGAUGAAAUCAUAGAAGGCUAUCCUUUUAUGUUUGACAGAGCCUCAGAGGAAGCACGGGCUAAGUACGUGCCAGCGCCGCGGUAAU